RNAcentral lists this ribosomal RNA (497 nucleotides) under uncultured bacterium. RNAcentral's name for it is "partial 16S ribosomal RNA". It matches the Rfam family "Bacterial small subunit ribosomal RNA", at positions 28 to 507 of the family's 1533-position model. The record is from RNAcentral.
GAUGAACGCUGGCGGCGUGCCUAAUACAUGCAAGUCGAGCGAACGGUCGAGAAUUUUGCUUCUCUGAUGUUAGAGGCGGACGGGUGAGUAACUCGUGGAUAACAUACCUCUAAGACUGUGAUAACUUCGGGAAACCGGCGCUAAUACCGGAUAAUAUUUUGAACCGCAUGGUUCAAAAGUGAAAGACGGUCUUGCUGUCACUUAUAGCUUGCUCCGCGCUGCAUUCGCUAGUUGGUAAGGUAACUGCUUACCAAAGCAACGAUGCAUACCCGACCUGAGAGGGUGGUCGGAUACACGGGAAGUGAGAAACGGUACAGACACUUAGGGGAGGAAGCAGUAGAGAAUCUUCCGCAAGGGGGGAAAGGGGGACGGAGCAAAGCGGGGGGAGCGAUGAAGGUGCUAGGAUCGGAAAACGAUGUAAGUAGGGAAGAAGAUAUGUGUAAGUAACGGGGAAGAUAAUGACGGUACCUAAUCAGAAAGCCACGGCUAACUACGUG